GCCUAUAACCACGGACGCGGCCCUCAGUUUGUAUGCAUGGAAACCAAUUAACUUUCUCUCCGCGACAUGCUAGGAAUUUAUUUGGCCCAUCAAAUCCUUGUGUUGGUAGCAACUACUACGCCUGGGUUUGUUUUCUUCAACGCUGAUAAAAUAUUCUUCCUUCUUCCUGUGAUUAGUGUCUCUUCAAUUUCAUUCCAUGUUUUAGUGAGAGGAGGGGACGAAGGAGAUGAGUAGUAUCUGGAAGAGGAUGGGCGGCCGUGAUCAAGCAUUUGUUUGACCCGGAUGAGAUGCCGCGGAUUGGUGAUAUGGCGUCAAACAAAACAAAACAGCCCGCCUAAUCAUCCUAAUUAAUGAUUUGAUUGAUGGCAUGCAUUCUGCGAGUGGCUACGCUUGCAUGAUCCAGGGAUCUCCAGCAUGCUAUCCUUUCUCUGUUAUUGGGAAAUGCUACGGUUUUGUUUGACCGAGUAAUUCACAUCAAAUCUAUUUAGGCAUUUCCAAAAAAAUUACACAAGUUGAUCUUCA
Molecule: long non-coding RNA, 522 nt
Organism: Lolium perenne
Lineage: Eukaryota; Viridiplantae; Streptophyta; Magnoliopsida; Poales; Poaceae
Source: RefSeq, a predicted model, not a curated record